CUUCCUCUGAAAGAGCCCUCCUCUCUCCCAACAGUGGGCUGACCCGUUCUCCCUCAUUCCCUCCGUGCAGAGCCAGCAGACUGCCGAGCAGGAGAACUGAGGGGCCUCUCAGGACAGCCAGGAUGUGUGCUUCUUCAAGUGGGAAGGCAAGACUGCUGCCUUUAAACCAGUUCCUCGUCAUAGACACCAGACACCUGGCACUGAGACCCAGGGGGAGGCAGAAGUUCACCACUGGAGAAGCCACAAGUUCUUGAGUUUGGCACCUGGGCACCAGCAACAAGCAUGCAGAAACCUAAGAUCAGAUGUAAUCUCUCGGCUACUGCUCCAGAGACAUACCUGCCUGCCUGUCACCACUGGUCCCCACCAUGAUGGUCAUGGACUCACCCUCUGAAACUCUAAGUCCCC
Long non-coding RNA from Myodes glareolus (Bank vole), 405 nucleotides. RefSeq lists it as uncharacterized. The record is from RefSeq and is a predicted model, not a curated record. Lineage: Eukaryota; Metazoa; Chordata; Mammalia; Rodentia; Cricetidae.